Molecule: transfer RNA, 61 nt
Filed under: Cyphocaris challengeri
Lineage: Eukaryota; Metazoa; Arthropoda; Malacostraca; Amphipoda; Cyphocarididae
Description: tRNA-Lys
Source: RNAcentral
UAUUAAGUAACCAAAUGGUUUAAGUCUUUUAAACUUACAAUAGCUUAUUAGCUCUUAAUAA